UACGGAGGGUGCAAGCAUUAAUCGGAUUUAUUGGGCGUAAAGGGCGCGUAGGCGGGUAUAUAAGUCAGAUGUGAAAUCCCGGGGCUCAACCCCGGAACAGCAUUUGAAACUAUAUGUCUAGAGGGUAGGCGGAGAAAACAGAAUUCCACAAGUAGCGGUGAAAUGCGUAGAUAUGUGGAAGAAUACCGGUGGCGAAGGCGGUUUUCUAGCUUAUACCUGACGCUGAGGCGCGAAAGCAAGGGGAUCAAACAGG
This 253-nucleotide ribosomal RNA is filed under the name uncultured bacterium. Its description in RNAcentral is "partial 16S ribosomal RNA". It matches the Rfam family "Bacterial small subunit ribosomal RNA", at positions 524 to 776 of the family's 1533-position model. The record is from RNAcentral.